Molecule: long non-coding RNA, 3629 nt
Organism: Vespa velutina
Lineage: Eukaryota; Metazoa; Arthropoda; Insecta; Hymenoptera; Vespidae
Exons: 3
Source: RefSeq, a predicted model, not a curated record
UUGUUUUGACAUGCUUUAGGCCGCAACAAAUGUUAAAAGAUCGUACUACACUUGGCCAGGUUGUCGUCGUGUGGGCGCGCGUGCGGCGGCGGUGGCAUCAAAGGCAAUUUGUUAGUAAUAGGAAAUAUAUGAGAUAAUAAUGGUUAAAAAGGAAUUUUAAUGGAAAGAAGAAAAAAAAAAAAGAAAGAAAAAAGAAGAAGAAGAAGAAGAAAAAGGAAAGUGUUUAAUUAGGAUUAAGAGAAAAUGUUGUACAUGAUGGAAACCGGAUAGUUUCUUCAAUUCAAUGGUUCUAGUCUUCUCGAAGGUGCGAGCUUUCGUCGACGCGGAUCUUUCUUUAUAAUAAUCAUAAUAGAAAAGCAAUUCUGAACGUAUUUUCACAGAUAUAAAAAUUAUCCGACAUAUUCAGUAUUGCUUUUCCUAUCUAUUAUAUUUGGUUAAAUUCACUAAUGUUUUGGACUAAUCGUAAAAAUAAUAAAAAUAAAUUUUAGAAAGGUCGCUAAACUACGAGCAUUUGUAGAAUAGAUUGAAAAAAAAAAAUGAACCAAUGAGUGAAAGGAGGACAUGGGAUAAGGGGAAGGGAUGGAUUUCUAAGAUAGGAAGAAUUAGGUAUGAGUGUAUGUGUAAAUAUGCCGUCCCACGUCACCUACUACGCUUUCAAGGCUUUGCGUUGGCGUAUGUGCGUCGACAGUAUCAUCACUUCCUGUUAGGACAGCAAAUGGUUCUGAAGCCGCGUGUAAGGACGGCGGAAUUGAUGGUUGUACUUUAACAGAUCUAUUUACAUCCCUUCGUCUUCUGGAUGCUUUUUCACCAAUUUUGACGGUACUCAAUACGGUGCUAAAUUCCCCGGGUCUUCGACCAGAAACAUAAAGCGUAACCACGCUAGAUUCAGCUUUCGAAAUGGCAGAAUUAUCUUCUUUUUUAUCGUGAGACCUAUCCCGUCCGCCUCGAACCCUUGAUGGUUUUUCAUAUUCCUCGAGAUCUUCGUCCGAAUAUUCAUAACUAUCUGGUUUAUAAUCCGAAUCUGCUGGUUGAUGCCGCCUUUCAACUUCACCCGGUAGAGUAUUACUUUGGGUUAACAAUGGAACAGCGGCGAACAAAGGAUCCAAUAAAGGAUUUGAAUUUGGUUGUAUUUGCUGUUGGGGUUGUUGAAGUAGCAAUAGUAAAGAAUUUAAAUUUGCUGCUGGUAAUGUUGCCGUUGGUGUAACUACAACAGUGUCCGUGAUAAAUUCCGUUGCGGUUAUGAUGUCGCUUGAGGAGUCUAUUAAAGUAGUUAAGAUCUCUUUACCACGGAAGGUAAGUGGAAUGACGGUGCUUUGAUGUUUCGUAAUCGUAGUGACGUAGGUAGUUGUGCGCGUGUUAUAUUGCGUAGUGGGUGUACCUUGAGGCUGUAGUAAUUGGUUCUGUGGAUUUAACUGACCCAGAAGCAAUUGUGAUAAAAGGAUAUUUGCAAGAGGUGGAUUUGUAGGCAAAGAAGGUCGUAUUGUAGAAACUACAUUUUCAACUGAAUAAACAGUUGUAGGCACGAUCACUGAUUGUGAAGCUCUCCGACCACCAAAAGUGCUUCGCUGACAAUAACUACCAGUGGUCGACCAUCACCACCUGUUACAGUGCUAUACUGAGAAGGACCAAGGACUUCUGUACUAGGUUGAGCCGUUAUAAUAUUGCGUUGCUCAGUGACACCAUUAUUUACUACAGGUUUUUACAACGUAGGUCGUCGGAGAAGAGACGGAGAUGCGGGCGGACGUUGGAGGCAGACGGCAUCCAGUUGUUGAGAAGAGUUGAAGGCGGGGAGCAGGCAGGAGCAGUAACAGAAACAGAAAAAGAGAUAGACGAUUUUAAUAGAACAGCUUCUCUUUUGUAAUCUACAAUACCUGUAUCUCUGACAUAACGUCGUUCAUUUUUAAGCUUGAUUUUCAUGUAUCUCAUGUGCUUCGGUAAUUAAAUUUCUUUAUUAUUUUAUAUAAUUAUUUAAUAGUUCAAAACGUUAUCUUGAAGAAGCAAGAAGGGAAGAGAAAGAAACGAGACGAUAAAAAAAAAAAAGAGAAGAAAAAUAAAAAAAAAUAAAGGAAAAAACAAUAUAGAAAAUAAACAAAGAACAUAAUGAUAACGUGAACGAAUAUUUAUGUAUUGGUUUAAAAAAAAACAAAAGAAAAAAAAAAAAGAAAAAGUUUUUUCUUUUCUAAAUAAAAUUUACACAGUAUUUUCUCACUUCUUUAGAAUAACAUUCUAAUUAUCAUUCAGAUUUUUGUUUCCAUUUAUAUAUUUUCUAUUUUCUAUUUAUAAUAUACACUUGUAUCUUUUGUAGAAUUUGAAGAAUAUGGAAAAUAAUUAAUUAAAUCCGUUACAUAAGAGAACAAAUAAAUCAAGCUUUAAUUUUGAAAGUGGUAUGCUUAUAACAGAGCGAUCUGCUUCUUAGCGAUAUACAGCUCGGAAAAAUAGUUAAGUAGUAAUUUGUGCCAGAUAACAAUAGAAAAUAAUAGCCGUUAGAAUUUCGUGCAUAGCCUGACCAUAUUAAAGAUUUCAAUGAGGGACAGAUUUGCAGACAGAAAAUUGACCGAAAGUUAGUUUUUAAUAAAUUCAUUCUAAUAAAUUCAGUCGUAUGUUGAUUUUUGUAUAUAUUGAUUUUUUGUAUUCAAAAAAAAAAAAAAAUAAUAAUAACAACAACAACAACAAUAAUACGAUCAUCUGAUUCGUGUAAUUCAAUUUAAAAAAAUAAGAUAAAACUUAUCUCAGUUAGCGAUGAUUCAUUCAUAAAAAAUAAUUUUUAUUUUGAAAGAAUUACAAAAAAAAAAAGAAAAACAAAAAAUAAAUAUAUAAAAGAAGAAAAUACAUUUUUAUUAUAAUUUAUAUUUUUUUAUAUAUAUAUAUAUAUAUAUUAUGAUAAUAUAUUUAUAAUCAGUAAAAAAAAGAAUAUAUUUUUAAUUUGUCUAAUUUAUUUCUAUUCGACAGAUUACGCAGAUCUAUUUAACUAAAACUAAUUAUGUUUAUUAAUUAUGAAAUGAAGAUAUAGAAAUGUUUUUCAGUUCGAAGGCUUAUAUAUAUAUACACGGCCGCACCUCGCGUCAACACGCACGUAUAAUGUAUAGACAUGACAAAUUUAAUAUUCAUCAUGUGGAGAAAGUAAAAUAGGUAGAGACAAAGGUUGAAGCAGAAAUAAAGUGUUUAGACAUAACAUUGCUUUCAGUAUAAUAGAAAAUUUAGAACAUAUAUAUAUAUAUAUAUAUAUAUAUAUAUAUAUAUAUAUGUAUAUAUUAGUAUCAGAGAUACAUAAGAAAAUGAUCGAAAUCAGAUUUUUAGAGAAAUCAUUUGUUAUUGAGUCGAACAUAUAUGAGUAUAUAUACAAUAAAGAAUUUUUUAAAGAAAACAGAAAAACAAAAAAGAAAAAGGAUAGAAGUUGGACAAAAAAACCCUUGGGGCGCAUAAAGACAAGAUGAUGUUUUGGUUUUUUUUCCUUUUUUUUUUUUUUUUUUUUUUUUACAAUUUACAUAUAUCUCUCAAUAAUAUAUGAGAAUAUGUUAAGCGCAAUGUUAUGUAUAUUUAUAUAUUUGGAAAAUUGCCAAUAUAAUUAUACAUAUAUAUAUAAUUUAUAUCUUGAAUGUUUAAAUACAAUAAAAUCAAUUACAAACUCA